GACGAACGCUGGCGGCGUGCCUAAUACAUGCAAGUCGAACGCUUCUUUCCUCCCGAGUGCUUGCACUCAAUUGGAAAGAGGAGUGGCGGACGGGUGAGUAACACGUGGGUAACCUACCCAUCAGAGGGGGAUAACACUUGGAAACAGGUGCUAAUACCGCAUAACAGUUUAUGCCGCAUGGCAUAAGAGUGAAAGGCGCUUUCGGGUGUCGCUGAUGGAUGGACCCGCGGUGCAUUAGCUAGUUGGUGAGGUAACGGCUCACCAAGGCCACGAUGCAUAGCCGACCUGAGAGGGUGAUCGGCCACACUGGGACUGAGACACGGCCCAGACUCCUACGGGAGGCAGCAGUAGGGAAUCUUCGGCAAUGGACGAAAGUCUGACCGAGCAACGCCGCGUGAGUGAAGAAGGUUUUCGGAUCGUAAAACUCUGUUGUUAGAGAAGAGCAAGGACGUUAGUAACUGAACGUCCCCUGACGGUACCUAACCAGAAAGCCACGGCUAACUACGUG
Molecule: ribosomal RNA, 508 nt
Filed under: uncultured bacterium
Lineage: Bacteria
Description: partial 16S ribosomal RNA
Rfam family: Bacterial small subunit ribosomal RNA
Source: RNAcentral